Molecule: ribosomal RNA, 536 nt
Filed under: uncultured bacterium
Lineage: Bacteria
Description: partial 16S ribosomal RNA
Rfam family: Bacterial small subunit ribosomal RNA
Source: RNAcentral
UANUUGGAAAUGGACGAAAGUCUGAUCCAGCCACNCCGCGUGAGNNANGAAGGCCUUAGGGUUNCCAAGCUCUUUNAANGGGAAGAUAAUGACUGUACCGGGAGAAUAAGCUCCGGCUAANUUCNUGCCGGCAGCGGANGUAAUACGAAGGGGGCUAGCGUUGUUCGGAAUUACUGGGCGUAAAGCGCGCGCAGGCGGCCAAUCAAGUCAGGGGUGAAAGCCCAGAGCUCAACUCUGGAACUGCCUUUGAAACUGUUUGGCUCGAGUACGGGAGAGGUGAGUGGAAUUCCCAGUGUAGAGGUGAAAUUCGUAGAUAUUGGGAAGAACACCGGUGGCAAAGGCGGCUCACUGGCCCGUUUCUGACGCUCAGGCGCGAUAGCGUGGGGAUCAAACAGGAUUAGAUACCCUGGUAGUCCACGCCGUAAACUAUGGACGCUAGCCGUUGGGCAGCUUGCUGUUCAGUGGCGCAGCUAACGCAUUAAGCGUCCCGCCUGGGGAGUACGGCCGCNAGGUUGAAACUCAAAGGAAUUGACGGA